GAUGCUUGUGAUAUAUUUUCUUUGCUCAUUUUUAAAAGAUGACAUUUUGUGGACGUCACAUGGCAGAGUUUCCAUAGAUUUUACUUUUUCCAGUGAAUUCUUCAUCUGUUGAUAUAUACUCUGAAAGCUGUGUGCAUAUCCUCAUAUAAUUAGCUAUGUAGAAAGACAUGCAUAAUGUCAAAACAUAAAAACACAAAUUGUUAGGUCCGAAGAAACUUUGUAAGAUUUCUGCUGCUUUUUUAGCUAAAUAGGUGCAAUUUGGGUACUGUGAUAUUACAGCUAGGGCUAAAUGGGAAUCAACCAUGUUAAAAUAUUCAAAUGAUAAUUUGAUGACAAAAGCAAGUUAUCCUUCAAUUAUAAU
Molecule: long non-coding RNA, 361 nt
Filed under: Mytilus galloprovincialis (Mediterranean mussel)
Lineage: Eukaryota; Metazoa; Mollusca; Bivalvia; Mytilida; Mytilidae
Source: RNAcentral